AGCGAACGCUGGCGGCAGGCUUAACACAUGCAAGUCGAACGGGCAUCUUCGGAUGUCAGUGGCAGACGGGUGAGUAACACGUGGGAACGUACCCUUCGGUUCGGAAUAACUCAGGGAAACUUGAGCUAAUACCGGAUACGCCCUUUUGGGGAAAGGUUUACUGCCGAAGGAUCGGCUCGCGUCUGAUUAGCUUGUUGGUGGGGUAACGGCCUACCAAGGCGACGAUCAGUAGCUGGUCUGAGAGGAUGAUCAGCCACACUGGGACUGAGACACGGCCCAGACUCCUACGGGAGGCAGCAGUGGGGAAUAUUGGACAAUGGGCGCAAGCCUGAUCCAGCCAUGCCGCGUGAGUGAUGAAGGCCUUAGGGUUGUAAAGCUCUUUUGUCCGGGACGAUAAUGACGGUACCGGAAGAAUAAGCCCCGGCUAACUUCGUG
RNAcentral lists this ribosomal RNA (435 nucleotides) under uncultured bacterium. RNAcentral's name for it is "partial 16S ribosomal RNA". It matches the Rfam family "Bacterial small subunit ribosomal RNA", at positions 29 to 507 of the family's 1533-position model. The record is from RNAcentral.